UUACGACCAUAUUACGAUGAAAUAACUGAUCUAGUACGAUCACCAACGUUAAGCAACGUCGAGACUGGUCAGUACCUAGAUGGGUGACCGCUUGGGAAUACCAGGUGAUGUAU
Acanthosepion pharaonis is the source of this 113-nucleotide non-coding RNA. The record is from the annotation of a GenBank genome assembly. NCBI's taxonomy places the organism in Eukaryota, Metazoa, Mollusca, Cephalopoda, Sepiida, Sepiidae.